This 350-nucleotide transfer-messenger RNA is filed under the name uncultured Kallipyga sp. It matches the Rfam family "transfer-messenger RNA". Rfam says of the family: Bacterial tmRNA, also known as 10Sa RNA or SsrA, is named for its dual tRNA and mRNA-like properties. Lineage: Bacteria; Bacillati; Bacillota; Tissierellia. The record is from RNAcentral.
GGGGAUGUCCUGGUUUCGACAGGGAUUUGGAAAGAAGGGAAGCGAGCCGUCAGGCAGAUGACGUUAAACAGGCAACCUAAAUUUAAAUGCUAACGACAACGAAUUAGCUUUUGCUGCUUAAUUAACAAGCAGUCGGCCCUCCAGGUGGACCCGUAACACUCGGACUGGCCUCAAAUAUGUCGGGAAACUUCCUGCGCUAAGCUUUGCCCGCAGGUUGGAUUGAUGAAGCUACCUCGACUUUUGGCUUGUUUGUUGGCUUGAUUUCGGGGGAAACAAUUUCAACAAGCUACGCUCGUAGAAACUCUUCCGGAUGAGUUUCUGGACACGGGUUCGAUUCCCGUCAUCUCCAU